UACAGAGGUCUCAAGCGUUGUUCGGAUUCAUUGGGCGUAAAGGGCGCGUAGGCGGCGGGGCAAGUCGGGUGUGAAAUCUCAGAGCUCAACUCUGAAACUGCACUCGAUACUGCUUUGCUUGAGGACUGGAGAGGAGAUUGGAAUUCACGGCGUAGCAGUGAAAUGCGUAGAUAUCGUGAGGAAGACCAGUGGCGAAGGCGGAUCUCUGGACAGUUCCUGACGCUGAGGCGCGAAGGCCAGGGGAGCAAACGGG
RNAcentral lists this ribosomal RNA (253 nucleotides) under uncultured bacterium. RNAcentral describes it as "partial 16S ribosomal RNA". It matches the Rfam family "Bacterial small subunit ribosomal RNA", at positions 524 to 776 of the family's 1533-position model. The record is from RNAcentral.